Molecule: ribosomal RNA, 1398 nt
Filed under: uncultured bacterium
Lineage: Bacteria
Description: 16S ribosomal RNA
Rfam family: Bacterial small subunit ribosomal RNA
Source: RNAcentral
AGAGUUUGAUCCUGGCUCAGGAUGAACGCUGGCGGCAUGCCUAAUACAUGCAAGUCGAACGGAGUACUUCGGUACUCAGUGGCGAACGGGUGAGUAACACGUAGGUAACCUGCCCAUGUGCCCGGGAUAACGGUUGGAAACGACUGCUAAAACCGGAUAGGUAAUAACGGGGCAUCCCGAUAUUAUUAAAGGAGCUUUCGGGCUCUGAACAUGGAUGGACCUGCGGUGCAUUAGCUAGUUGGCGGGGCAACGGCCCACCAAGGCAACGAUGCAUAGCCGACCUGAGAGGGCGAACGGCCACAUUGGGACUGAGACACGGCCCAAACUCCUACGGGAGGCAGCAGUAGGGAAUUUUCGUCAAUGGGGGGAACCCUGAACGAGCAAUGCCGCGUGAGUGAAGACGGUUUUCGGACUGUAAAGCUCUGUUGCGAGAGAAAAACGGUAUGGAUAGGAAAUGAUCCAUAAGUGAUGGUAUCUCGCCAGAAAGUCACGGCUAACUCCGUGCCAGCACCCGCGGUAAUACGGAGGAUGCGAGCGUUAUCUCGAUUUUUUGGGUUUAAAGGGUGUGUAGGGUGCGCGUCAAGUCUGCGGUGUAAUGUCCGGGCUCUACCCGGAUACGUGCCGUUGAUACUUCCGUGGUGGGAUUCCGUGAGAGUGGGAGGAAUGUGUAAUGUAGCGGUGUAAAUGCAUAGAUAUAACACAGAGACCCCGAUUGGGAAGGCAUCUCAGACAGCGGGUAUUCACGCUGACGCGCGAAAGUGCGGGGAUCAUACAAGAUUAGAUCCUCUGGUAGUCCGCACAGUAAACGAUGAUAUCUAGCUGUGGGGGACAGACAGUGGGUGGACAAGCGACAGUGAUAUAGUUAUCCUCGUGGGGAGUCCGACCGCAGGGUUGAUACUCAAAGGAAUUGACGGGGGCCCCCACAAGCGGUGGAGCAUGUGGUUUAAUUAGACGCGACGAGAAGAACCUCACCAGAUCUCGUCAUCCCUCUGACUAAGAGAGUAAUGCGGUCUCCCUUCGGGGCAGAGGUGACAGGUGGUGCAUGGUUGUCGUCAGCUCGUGUCGUGAGAUGUUGGGUUAAGUCCCGCAACGAGCGCAACCCUUGUCCUUAGUAGCCAGCAGGUAAAGCCGGGCACUCUAGGGAGACUGCCGGAGAUAAUCCGGAGGAAGGUGGGGAUGACGUCAAAUCAUCAUGCCCCUUACGAUCUGGGCUACACACGUGCUACAAUGGCGUUAAACAAAGAGAAGCAACCCUGCGAAGGUAAGCAAAUCUCAAAAACAACGUCUCAGUUCGGAUUGCAGGCUGCAACUCGCCUGCAUGAAGCUGGAAUCGCUAGUAAUCGCGAAUCAGCAUGUCGCGGUGAAUACGUUCCCGGGUCUUGCACUCACCGCCCGUCA